This is a long non-coding RNA of Crotalus tigris (Tiger rattlesnake), 714 nucleotides long. RefSeq lists it as uncharacterized. The record is from RefSeq and is a predicted model, not a curated record. Lineage: Eukaryota; Metazoa; Chordata; Lepidosauria; Squamata; Viperidae. The transcript has 3 exons.
GGGAGAAUUAAGGCUGAAGAGACGGCGGCUCUCCUCAAACCUUCCCCAUUUGUGGAGAAAUAGCAGGAGUUGCUUCUCCUGUUCGCGCGUUCCUUUUUCUUCCUCCUUCCCUCCCCACCUUCUUUGUGGCUGUUGAUAACCCAUUUACUUGUACUUUUCUCCUGGACUCAUGUCUAUAACCAUUCAGAAGAAAGAAAAUAUACAAGAUAAAUGAAGGAAGCAUAUCUAUUUCCUUACCCAAUCUGCAUAAUUAGACGAGCAGGAUUUACUUUGGAGGCCACAGGAAUCUAGUUAUGGACUGAUGGCAGCUGAAUCAACUUCCAGAAACAUACGGACAUGUGGAACAUUUGGAUUGAUCUGUUUUGGUGGAAUAUGAAGACACAUUCUAGAACUGGUACACUACACCAACUUAGAACAUUUUACAUAUUUACCCAUAUUUGGGUGCAGCUGUCUAGGAAACAGUAAAAUCCUAAGAAAACAUUUAUAAAUUUCAAUUAAAACUUGGUGACUUCACUUUUUAUAUUUAACAUAUGACUUGUAUGUUGCCCCUUUCUUCCUUCCAUAGUGUCUUGAUGCAUGACUAUACUUAGCCAUGAACUGAUUUUUAAAUCCUGCAUUCUAAGUUAUUGUAUGCUUUUUUGAGAAUUAAACAGUUUCCAGUACUUUUAAAACUUAAGUCAAAAUGUAAUACUUCACUGUGGCAACUGAUUUUAU